UUCCUCGUGGCCCAAUGGUCACGGCGUCUGGCUACGAACCAGAAGAUUCCAGGUUCAAGUCCUGGCGGGGAAGGAUUAUUUU
Molecule: transfer RNA, 82 nt
Filed under: Saccharomyces cerevisiae (brewer's yeast)
Lineage: Eukaryota; Fungi; Ascomycota; Saccharomycetes; Saccharomycetales; Saccharomycetaceae
Description: tRNA-Arg(ACG)
Rfam family: tRNA (bases 1-73)
About the family: Transfer RNA (tRNA) molecules are approximately 80 nucleotides in length. Their secondary structure includes four short double-helical elements and three loops (D, anti-codon, and T loops).
Source: RNAcentral